Molecule: ribosomal RNA, 2973 nt
Filed under: Liriodendron chinense
Lineage: Eukaryota; Viridiplantae; Streptophyta; Magnoliopsida; Magnoliales; Magnoliaceae
Description: bacterial LSU rRNA
Rfam family: Bacterial large subunit ribosomal RNA
Source: RNAcentral
UAUAAAUUGGAGGUUCAACACCUAGGCACCCAGAGACAAGGAAGGGUGUAGUAAUUGAUGAAAUGCUUUGGGGAGUUGAAAAUAAGCGUAAAUCCAGAGAUUCCCGAAUAGGUCAACCUUUCGAAUUGCUGCUGAAUCCAUGGGCAGGCAAGAGACAACCUGACAAACUGAAACAUCUUAGUAGCUAGAGGAAAAGAAAGCAAAAGCGAUUCCCGUAAUAGCGGCGAGGGAAAUAAACCGUGAAAAUGGGGUUGUGGGAGAGCAAUACAAGCGUCGUGCUGCUAGGCGAAGUAGUGGAGUGAUGCACCCUAGAUGGCUAGAGUCCAGUAGCCGAAAGCAUCACUAGCUUAUGCUCUAACCUGAGUAGCAUGGGGCACAUGGAAUCCCAUGUGAAUCAGCAAGGACCACCUUGCAAGGCUAAAUAUUCCUGGGUGACCGAUAACGAAGUAGUACCGUGAGGGAAAGGUGAAAAGAACCCCCAUUAGGGAGUGAAAUAGAACGUGAAACCAUGAGGCUCCCAAGCAGUGGGAGGAGAAAUCUCUAACUGCGUGCCUGUUGAAGAAUGAGCCGGCGACUCAUAGGUAGUGGCUUGGUUAAGGGAACCCACCGGAGCCGUAGCGAAAGCGAGUCUUCAUAGGGCAAUUGUCACUACUUAUGGACCCAAACCUGGGUGAUCUAUCCAUGACCAGGGUGAAGCUUGGGUGAAACUAAGUGGAGGUCCGAACCGACUGAUGUUGAAGAAUCAGCGGAUGAGUUGUGGUUAGGGGUGAAAUGCCACUCGAACCCAGAGCUAGCUGGUUCUCUCUGAAAUGUGUUAAGGCACAAUAGUUGACUGGGCAUCUAAGGGUAAAGCACUGUUUCGGUGCGGGCCACGAGAGCGGUACUAAAUCGAGGUAAACUCUGAAUACUAGAUAUGACCCCAAAAUAACAUGGGUCAAGGUCGGCCAGUGAGACGAUGGGGGAUAAGCUUCAUCGUCGAGGGGGAAACAGCCCGGAUCACCAGCUAAAGCCCCUAAAUGACCGCUCAGUGAUAAAGGAGGUAGGGGUGCAGAGAUAGCUAGGAGGUUUUCCUAGAAGUAGCCAACCUUGAAAGAGUGCGUAAUAGCUCACUGAUUGAGCGUUCUUGCGCCGAAGAUGAACGGGGCUAAGCGAUCUGCCGAAGCUAUGGGAUGUAAAAAUGCAUUGAUAGGGGAGCGUUCCGCUUAGAGGGAAGCUCCUGCGCGAGCAGGUGUGGACGAAGCGGAAGCAAGAGUGUCGGCUUGAGUAACGCAAACAUUAGUGAGAAUCCAAUGCCCCAAAAACCUAAGGGUUCCUUUGCAAGGUUCGUCCACGGAGGGUGAGUCAGGGCUUAAGAUCAGGCCGAAAGGCGUAGUUGAUGGACAAUAGGUGAAUAUUCCUGUACUACCCCUUUUUGGUCUUGAGGGACGGAGGAGGCUAGGUUAGUCGAAAGAUGGUUAUCAGUUCAAGGAUGCAAGGUGACCUUGCUUUUUCAGGGAAGGGUAAGAAGGGGUAGAGGAAAUGCCUCGAGCCAAUGUCCGAGUACCAAGCACUAUGGCGUUGAAGUAACCCAUGCCAUACUCCCAGGAAAAGCUCGAACGACCUUCAACAAAAGGGUACCUGUACCGGAAACCGACACAGGUGGGUAGGUAGAGAAUAACUAGGGGCACGAGAUAACUCUCUCUAAGGAACUUGACAAAAUAGCCCUGUAACUUGGGGAGAAGGGGUGCCUCCUCACAAAGGGGGUCGUAGUGACCAGGCUCAGGCAACUAUUUACUAAAAACACAUGUCUCCGCAAAGUCGUAAGACCAUGUAUGGCGGCUGACGCCUGCCCAGUGCCGGAAGGUUAAGGAAGCUGGUGACCUGAUGAUCGGGGAGCUGGUGACCGACGCCCAGGUGAAUGGCGGCCGUAACUAUAAUGGUCCUAAGGUAGCGAAAUUCCUUGUCGGGUAAGUUCUGACCCGCACGAAAGGCGUAACGAUCUGGGCACUGUCUCAAAGAGAGGCUCAGUGAAAUAGACAUGUUUGUGAAGAUGCGGCUACCUGCAUCUGGACAGAAAGACCCUAUGAAGCUUUAUGUUCCCUGGGAUUGGCUUUGGGCCUUUCCUGCACAGCUUAGGUGGAGGGCGAAGAAGGCCUCCUUUCGAGGGGGCCCGAGCCAUCGUGAGAUACCACUCUGGAAGAGCUAGAAUUCUAACCUUGUGUCAGGACCUAUGGGCCAAGGGACAGUCUCAGUUAGACAGUUUCUAUGGGGCGUAGGCCUCCCAAAAGGUAACGAAGGAGUGCAAAGGUUUCCUCGGGUCGGACGAAGAUUGGACCUCGAGUGCAAAGGCAGAAGGGAGCUUGACUACAAGACCCACCCGUCGAGUAGGGACAAAAGUCGGCCUUAGUGAUUCGACGGUGCCGAGUGGAAGGGCCGUCACUCAACGGAUAACAGGCAGAUCUUCCCCAAGAGUUCACAUCGACGGGAAGGUUUGGCACCUCGAUGUCGGCUCUUCGCCACUUGGGGUUGUAGUAUGUUCCAAGAGUUGGGCUAUUUGCCCAUUAAAGCGGUACGUGAGCUAGGUUCAGAAUGUCAUGAGACAGUUCGGUCCAUAUCCGAUGUGGACGUUAGAGCAUUGAGAGGACCUUUCCCUAAUACGAGAGGACCGGGAAGGACGCACCUCUGGUGUAUCAGUUAUCGUGCCCACGGUAAAUGCAGGGUAGCCAAGUGCGGAGCGAAUAAUUGCUGAAAGCAUCUAAGUAGUAAGUCCACCCCAAGAUGAGUGCUCUCCUAUUCCGACUUCCCCUGAGCCUCCGGUAGCACAAUUGAAGCAGCGACGGGUUCUCUGGCCUUGUGGGGAUGUAGUGACAGAAGUCUUGAGAAUCCAAGAUAAGGUCGCGGGAGAGACGAGCCGUUUAUCAUUACGAUAGGUGACAAGUGGAAGUGCAGUGAUGUAUGCAGCUGAGGCAUCCUAACAGACUGAGAGAUUUGAAC